RNAcentral lists this non-coding RNA (24 nucleotides) under Alligator mississippiensis (American alligator). Its record names the gene ami-miR-1a-5p. The record is from miRBase by way of RNAcentral. RNAcentral also lists the same sequence under 1 other name. Lineage: Eukaryota; Metazoa; Chordata; Crocodylia; Alligatoridae.
ACAUACUUCUUUAUAUGCCCAUAU